AUUGAACGCUGGCGGCAUGCCUUACACAUGCAAGUCGAACGGCAGCACGGGAGCAAUCCUGGUGGCGAGUGGCGAACGGGUGAGUAAUAUAUCGGAACGUGCCCGGUCGUGGGGAUAACGUAGCGAAAGCUACGCUAAUACCGCAUACGAUCUACGGAUGAAAGCGGGGGAUCGCAAGACCUCGCGCGAUUGGAGCGGCCGAUAUCAGAUUAGGUAGUUGGUGAGGUAAAGGCUCACCAAGCCGACGAUCUGUAGCUGGUCUGAGAGGACGACCAGCCACACUGGGACUGAGACACGGCCCAGACUCCUACGGGAGGCAGCAGUGGGGAAUUUUGGGACAAUGGGCGCAAGCCUGAUCCAGCAAUGCCGCGUGCAGGAUGAAGGCCUU
Molecule: ribosomal RNA, 388 nt
Filed under: uncultured bacterium
Lineage: Bacteria
Description: bacterial SSU rRNA
Rfam family: Bacterial small subunit ribosomal RNA
Source: RNAcentral